GGCUAUCUGAUGUCUGCAUCAGUAAAGAGCAAAUGUGUAUAAUUUUAACCCUAGUUGGGAGAAGGAAAGACAACGUUCUUCAGUGAAUCUCGAGGGACAUCUGACGUUUGUUGAUCUUCUGCUCUGUUGCGGCAGUUUCAUUUAUUUUAUUAGGAGGCAAAAACAUUAACUGCAAACGAUUUUGAGAAACAAAGCGCCGGUGGGUGAAGGUGGUGGCAGUAGUUCUACAUGGUUUGGUGUUUAUUCAUUGAGCCUUUGUCGCAAGGUACCAGAUGAGGUUCAAAGAAAAGUAUUGUAACAACAUUGUUUUAUUAGGAGGUGCGGCGCUUUUGAUGUCCUCCACUUGUGCAGCACCUGUAGCUUUGAUAGUAAAGCUCUAGAAUACACUGAAGAGACCUCACCAGCUUAUAAGGGUGUUUUGCUAUUGUUUUAUAAUAUAUGUCAUUUUAGCGCAAGCUUAAAUUCUACAUUCUUAAUCCACGCAUGGAGACCUUCUCGCGUUAGUGACCCGCGGUAGAGGACACUAAGCGCGGUUUUGUUUACAUCUGUUAAUGCAUUUUACGAAGAACAGCCCACUGAUUUUACUGAGAAGAACACGUCUACAAAACCGAAGAAAAACGUUAAGGCUAUGCUUCUUUAAAGUAAUGGACAGCUCCCAUCUGAAAGAGAACAUUCAGACAGAGAUGAACACAGUUGGGAAGUCAAACAGAGAGGCUUUGCAGUGGGAGAAAAUGAACUGGAAUGAAGUGCAAAUCAAUGAUUCAUCAGGACAUUCAGAAAAACAUGGAAACUCCUGACAGAGGUGCAGAACCUAAGCAGUGUACCUCUGGGAAACUUAAAUGUGACCUGACGUUGGCUUUCGUGCACUUUUUUUGUUGGUUGAUCAAGUAAGGUUCAUGAGAAGAAAAAAAAAAUGUAGACCCAAAAUAAAUGAGUUGUAAAUGGAUAGAAACCCAAUUGAAAAUUCUGUCAUUGACAAAACAGCUGUAAUAGCGACUUCAGCUGAAGUCGUAAACACAAGCCACAGAACCAUAUGGCUUUACCCAUACCACCAAAUUCUGCUGGUUAUUAAAGUGACCCAUUUAUUUGCAAAAAUGAAUAAAAUUUUCCAGUAGGUUUAGGUAUUUUUGGAAAGAAAAACAUAGUUAAAAGUUUAUGGCCUUUUAUGAACUUUAAAUAAACCGAAAGCAGUAUUUUGCAACUAACAAGCUAAAAGAAACAAGCAAUUCAGUGAUGCCUGAGGAAUCACACAUCUAAACAUGCACAUCUGCAGCACACCUUAUUUUGCAGAUUCAAUCACAAGUAAAAUAUAUUUAAGUUACUUCAGUCUGAUGGGAUUUUUUUUCCUUACACCAGAAUGUGAGGUGUUGUUGAUGAUUGUAUCUAUAAGUUAUUGCAGUCAAUUUAAUAUCAAUAAAUUUCAUAUCGAUCAUUAUAUCAGUCGCCAUCAGUGAACUAUUCCCAACAAUGAUUUGUUUUUUUUUUAAUAUAAUAAAACAAUAUAGUACAAUAUACACACAAUAUGAAACUUGAAAUAGUCAGAGUUCAACAUUGUGCUGCAUGUCAGGGGGAACGCAGUACCGACACUUCUAUAUUUUAGUCUUUAGAGUACCUGCACUUUUUUGUGCGUACCGCCAUUUCUGACAUGUUGCCGGUGCUCUGAGUAAAAGUGUCAGUGUCUCGGUAAUUAUAAAUUACACUAUAUAAAUCACUCUACCAGGGCAGGACCGCCUCUCAUCUCGACAAAUGACGUGAGCGAAUUCAAGCGGAAUAGGUCUACCUCAUGUGUGGGGUGCCAGAACAUGUUAGUGGAGGCGUGUAGAGUAGUAUAAUUAAUCAAUGCAAAAAUAAUUUAUUAUUGAUUACUAAUUUGAAUCAGUACUUUAUACCUUACAAAUUAAAAAAAAAUAAUAAUUUUGCAAUCACAUUUUAAAGUGGUAAACGGAUCCAGUAAAUUAAUUCACACAGUCAGUUCAAAACAGCGCUAAUAAUCAUAUUACCCCAAUUUUACAGUCUCUGCACUGGCUACCUAUUAAGUUCCAUAUCAGUUACAAAAUAUUAUUAUUACUUAUAAGGCCCUUAAUGGUUUAGCUCCUGUGUUCCUAACUAGUCUUCUACCACGCUACAAUCCAUCACGCUCCCUAAGGUCACAAAACGCUGGACUUUUGAUAGUACCUAGGAUAGCAAAGUCCACUAAAGGAGGUAGAGCUUUUUCGCAUUUGGCUUCCAAACUCUGGAAUAGCCUUCCUGAUAAUGUUCAGGGUUCAGACACACUUUCUCUGUUUAAAUCUAGAUUAAAAACACACCUCUUUGGCCAAGCAUUGAAAUAUGCAUCUCAUAAUUUUGGACUGCAGUUAUAUCUGAUCAAAUGCGCAUUAUUAUUCUUUAGCUUGGGGUAAACUAAUUAAUUUUACUUUGCUGGAACAGCAGCUACGCUAAUUAUGUCUCUAUUUGUUUCUCUGUUUUACACAAG
Long non-coding RNA from Cyprinus carpio carpio, 2473 nucleotides. NCBI's taxonomy places the organism in Eukaryota, Metazoa, Chordata, Actinopteri, Cypriniformes, Cyprinidae. The record is from Ensembl.